This 650-nucleotide ribosomal RNA is filed under the name Bacillus toyonensis. RNAcentral describes it as "bacterial SSU rRNA". It matches the Rfam family "Bacterial small subunit ribosomal RNA", at positions 69 to 702 of the family's 1533-position model. Lineage: Bacteria; Bacillati; Bacillota; Bacilli; Caryophanales; Bacillaceae. The record is from RNAcentral.
GGAUUGAGAGCUUGCUCUCAAGAAGUUAGCGGCGGACGGGUGAGUAACACGUGGGUAACCUGCCCAUAAGACUGGGAUAACUCCGGGAAACCGGGGCUAAUACCGGAUAACAUUUUGAACUGCAUGGUUCGAAAUUGAAAGGCGGCUUCGGCUGUCACUUAUGGAUGGACCCGCGUCGCAUUAGCUAGUUGGUGAGGUAACGGCUCACCAAGGCAACGAUGCGUAGCCGACCUGAGAGGGUGAUCGGCCACACUGGGACUGAGACACGGCCCAGACUCCUACGGGAGGCAGCAGUAGGGAAUCUUCCGCAAUGGACGAAAGUCUGACGGAGCAACGCCGCGUGAGUGAUGAAGGCUUUCGGGUCGUAAAACUCUGUUGUUAGGGAAGAACAAGUGCUAGUUGAAUAAGCUGGCACCUUGACGGUACCUAACCAGAAAGCCACGGCUAACUACGUGCCAGCAGCCGCGGUAAUACGUAGGUGGCAAGCGUUAUCCGGAAUUAUUGGGCGUAAAGCGCGCGCAGGUGGUUUCUUAAGUCUGAUGUGAAAGCCCACGGCUCAACCGUGGAGGGUCAUUGGAAACUGGGAGACUUGAGUGCAGAAGAGGAAAGUGGAAUUCCAUGUGUAGCGGUGAAAUGCGUAGAGAUAUGGA